GUUGGGUAGGGGAGCGUUCUGUAAGCCUGUGAAGGUGUGUCGUGAGGCAUGCUGGAGGUAUCAGAAGUGCGAAUGCUGACAUAAGUAACGAUAAAGCGGGUGAAAAGCCCGCUCGCCGGAAGACCAAGGGUUCCUGUCCAACGUUAAUCGGGGCAGGGUGAGUCGACCCCUAAGGCGAGGCCGAAAGGCGUAGUCGAUGGGAAACGGGUUAAUAUUCCCGUACUUGGUGUUACUGCGAAGGGGGGACGGAGAAGGCUAUGUUGGCCGGGCGACGGUUGUCCCGGUUUAAGCGUGUAGGUGUGUGUUCCAGGUAAAUCCGGUUCACUUUAACACUGAGGCGUGACGACGAGGCACUACGGUGCUGAAGCAACAAAUGCCCUGCUUCCAGGAAAAGCCUCUAAGCAUCAGGUAACAUCAAAUCGUACCCCAAACCGACACAGGUGGUCAGGUAGAGAAUACCAAGGCGCUUGAGAGAACUCGGGUGAAGGAACUAGGCAAAAUGGUGCCGUAACUUCGGGAGAAGGCACGCUGACACGUAGGUGAAGUGAUUUACUCAUGGAGCUGAAGUCAGUCGAAGAUACCAGCUGGCUGCAACUGUUUAUUAAAAACACAGCACUGUGCAAACACGAAAGUGGACGUAUACGGUGUGACGCCUGCCCGGUGCCGGAAGGUUAAUUGAUGGGGUCAGCGCAAGCGAAGCUCCUGAUCGAAGCCCCGGUAAACGGCGGCCGUAACUAUAACGGUCCUAAGGUAGCGAAAUUCCUUGUCGGGUAAGUUCCGACCUGCACGAAUGGCGUAAUGAUGGCCAGGCUGUCUCCACCCGAGACUCAGUGAAAUUGAACUCGCUGUGAAGAUGCAGUGUACCCGCGGCAAGACGGAAAGACCCCGUGAACCUUUACUAUAGCUUGACACUGAACAUUGAGCCUUGAUGUGUAGGAUAGGUGGGAGGCUUUGAAGCGUGGACGCCAGUCUGCGUGGAGCCGACCUUGAAAUACCACCCUUUAAUGUUUGAUGUUCUAACGUGGACCCGUGAUCCGGGUUGCGGACAGUGUCUGGUGGGUAGUUUGACUGGGGCGGUCUCCUCCUAAAGAGUAACGGAGGAGCACGAAGGUUGGCUAAUCCUGGUCGGACAUCAGGAGGUUAGUGCAAUGGCAUAAGCCAGCUUGACUGCGAGCGUGACGGCGCGAGCAGGUGCGAAAGCAGGUCAUAGUGAUCCGGUGGUUCUGAAUGGAAGGGCCAUCGCUCAACGGAUAAAAGGUACUCCGGGGAUAACAGGCUGAUACCGCCCAAGAGUUCAUAUCGACGGCGGUGUUUGGCACCUCGAUGUCGGCUCAUCACAUCCUGGGGCUGAAGUAGGUCCCAAGGGUAUGGCUGUUCGCCAUUUAAAGUGGUACGCGAGCUGGGUUUAGAACGUCGUGAGACAGUUCGGUCCCUAUCUGCCGUGGGCGCUGGAGAACUGAGGGGGGCUGCUCCUAGUACGAGAGGACCGGAGUGGACGCAUCACUGGUGUUCGGGUUGUCAUGCCAAUGGCACUGCCCGGUAGCUAAAUGCGGAAGAGAUAAGUGCUGAAAGCAUCUAAGCACGAAACUUGCCCCGAGAUGAGUUCU
This 1607-nucleotide ribosomal RNA is filed under the name Salmonella enterica. Its description in RNAcentral is "bacterial LSU rRNA". It matches the Rfam family "Bacterial large subunit ribosomal RNA", at positions 1223 to 2812 of the family's 2925-position model. Lineage: Bacteria; Pseudomonadati; Pseudomonadota; Gammaproteobacteria; Enterobacterales; Enterobacteriaceae. The record is from RNAcentral.